Molecule: ribosomal RNA, 629 nt
Filed under: uncultured bacterium
Lineage: Bacteria
Description: bacterial SSU rRNA
Rfam family: Bacterial small subunit ribosomal RNA
Source: RNAcentral
CCUACGGGAGGCAGCAGUGGGGAAUAUUGCGCAAUGGGGGAAACCCUGACGCAGCAACGCCGCGUGAGUGAGGAAGGACUUCGGUCUGUAAAGCUCUGUUAAUGAGGAAAAAUGGUAGUUGGUCUAAUAGGCCGAUUAUUUGAUGGUACUCAUAGAGGAAGCACCGGCUAACUUCGUGCCAGCAGCCGCGGUAAUACGAAGGGUGCAAGCGUUGUUCGGAUUUAUUGGGCGUAAAGCGCGCGUAGGCGGACCCGCAAGUCAGAUGUGAAAUCUCGAGGCUCAACCUCGAAACUGCGUCUGAAACUACGGGUCUAGAAUCUCGGAGGGGGAAGGGGAAUUUCGCAUGUAGGGGUAAAAUCCGUAGAUAUGCGAAGGAACACCAGAGGCGAAGGCGCCUUCCUGGACGAGUAUUGACGCUGAGGCGCGAAAGCGUGGGGAUCAAACAGGAUUAGAUACCCUGGUAGUCCACGCUGUAAACCGAUGAACACUAGGUAUUGGAGGUAUUUCGACCCCUUCUAGUGCGUAGCUACGUACGUUAGUGUUCCGUCCGUGGAGGUACGGUCGCGAGACGAAACUACGAAGAAGUAGACGGCGUGAGACGUGCCGACGGACGACGACGAGGGAGGAGG